UAAAUUAACAAUUUAACAUAACUUUUGGCGUUGGUCUUCAAGCACUAUUAUCAGAUGUGUUUUUUUUUUUUUUUUUUAAUUUGGGGAAGUUGGGGAGGAGAAGCAGUAUGGUUUGAACUCGGGACCUCACUAUUCACACACAAGAGAUCGCACCAUUUGGUGUCCCCUUGGAGACAUUAUAAGAUGUUCUUAAAAAUCGAACUACAAGGCGAGCAAGAUUCACUGCUUUGCCGUAAUGUAUGCCCAAAUUCUAUUGUUUCAUGCUUUUUUUAGUUCUUUUAAUAUUGAAUUAAUUUUUCCAUUUAUUUUUGUUUUAAAAUUUUUGAUAUUCUUU
This 334-nucleotide long non-coding RNA is filed under the name Salvia miltiorrhiza (redroot sage). RNAcentral's name for it is "long non-coding RNA (SMIL_LNC003048)". The record is from RNAcentral. Lineage: Eukaryota; Viridiplantae; Streptophyta; Magnoliopsida; Lamiales; Lamiaceae.